This is a small nuclear RNA of Artibeus jamaicensis (Jamaican fruit-eating bat), 103 nucleotides long. The record is from RefSeq and is a predicted model, not a curated record. Lineage: Eukaryota; Metazoa; Chordata; Mammalia; Chiroptera; Phyllostomidae.
UUGCUUUGGCAGCACAUACAAUGGACUUUGAGCCAUACAGAGAAGAUAAGCAGGGACCCUGUGCAAGGACGACCUGCAAAUUUGUGAAGCAUUCUGUAUUUUU